This 450-nucleotide ribosomal RNA is filed under the name uncultured Archaeospora. RNAcentral's name for it is "SSU rRNA". It matches the Rfam family "Eukaryotic small subunit ribosomal RNA", at positions 569 to 1024 of the family's 1831-position model. The record is from RNAcentral. Lineage: Eukaryota; Fungi; Glomeromycota; Glomeromycetes; Archaeosporales; Archaeosporaceae.
AGCAGCCGCGGUAAUUCCAGCUCCAAUAGCGUAUAUUAAAGUUGUUGCAGUUAAAAAGCUCGUAGUUGAAUUUUAGGCCUGGCCGGGCGGUCCGUCUUUGGCGAGUACUGUCCUGUGUCGGGUCCACCUUCUGGUGAGCCAGUAUGUCCUUUAUUGGGUGUGCCGGGGAGCCAGGACCAUUACCUUGAAAAAUUAGAGUGUUUAAAGCAGGCAUUUGCUUGAAUAGAUUAGCAUGGAAUAAUAGAAUAGGACGUUGUGGUUCUAUUUUGUUGGUUUCUAGGACCACCGUAAUGAUUAAUAGGGAUAGUUGGGGGCAUUAGUAUUCAAUUGUCAGAGGUGAAAUUCUUGGAUUUAUUGAAGACUAACUAUUGCGAAAGCAUUUGCCAAGGAUGUUUUCAUUAAUCAAGAACGAAAGUUAGGGGAUCGAAGACGAUCAGAUACCGUCGUAGU